This 446-nucleotide ribosomal RNA is filed under the name uncultured eukaryote. Its description in RNAcentral is "partial 18S ribosomal RNA". It matches the Rfam family "Eukaryotic small subunit ribosomal RNA", at positions 1296 to 1669 of the family's 1831-position model. The record is from RNAcentral.
AGUUCGUGGAACUGAUCUGUCAGUACUUAAUUGUACGUUAAACGAACGAGUACCUUUUAAUUAUUUAAUUAAGUUAAAUAUAUAGUAAUAUAAUUAAACUUUAAAAAAAAUAAAUUAUUUUUUUUUAUUUUUCUUUUGACUUCUUAAAAUAACAAUUGGUGAUUAACCAAAGUAAGUUAAAGGCAAUAACAGGUCUGUGAUGCCCUUUAGAUGUUCUGGGCUGCACGCGCGUUACACUGAAAAUAUCAAUAAGUUUUUAUAUAUCCAAACAAUUAUAUUUUAUAUAUUUGUUUUGAUAUGUCCUUGAUUGAAAAAUUUGGGUAAAACUUGAUAACUAUUUUCGUGAUGGGGAUUGAUAAUUGUAAUUAUUUAUCAUGAACGAGGAAUACCUAGUAAACGCAAGUCAUUAACUUGCAUUGAUUACGUCCCUGCCCUUUUGUACACAC